This 22-nucleotide microRNA is filed under the name Neolamprologus brichardi. RNAcentral's name for it is "nbr-miR-10571". The record is from miRBase by way of RNAcentral. Lineage: Eukaryota; Metazoa; Chordata; Actinopteri; Cichliformes; Cichlidae.
CAAAGAUCUGCUGACGUCACUU